This 482-nucleotide ribosomal RNA is filed under the name uncultured bacterium. RNAcentral's name for it is "partial 16S ribosomal RNA". It matches the Rfam family "Bacterial small subunit ribosomal RNA", at positions 28 to 507 of the family's 1533-position model. The record is from RNAcentral.
GAUGAACGCUAGCGGCAGGCCUAAUACAUGCAAGUCGGACGGGAUUCAGGAGCUUGCUUCUGAUGAGAGUGGCGCACGGGUGCGUAACACGUAUGUAACCUACCUUUAUCAGGGGGAUAGCCUCUCGAAAGAGAGAUUAAGCCCGCAUAAAAUCACAGCACAGCAUUGUGUAAUGAUCAAAUAUUUAUAGGAUAAAGAUGGGCAUGCGGAACAUUAGCUAGAUGGCGGGGUAACGGCCCACCAUGGCGACGAUGUUUAGGGGAUCUGAGAGGAUGGCCCCCCAAAAUGGUACUGAGAACCGGACCAGACUCCUACGGGAGGCAGCAGUAAGGAAUAUUGGUCAAUGGGCGGAAGCCUGAACCAGCCAUGCCGCGUGCAGGAAGACGGCCCUACGGGUUGUAAACUGCUUUUAGACGGGAAUAAACCCAGAUACGUGUAUCUGGCUGAAUGUACUGUAAGAAUAAGGAUCGGCUAACUCCGUG